UUUGGAAAAGUAAUGGAGUCCAGUCAACUUCAUUGAUCUCCAAGGACUAUCAAAAUUAUAAAACUUGCCGUGGAGCUCUGACAUGCCAGAAGCCGCUAGAAAAAGAAGUUUGACAUUCAGAAACUUACCAAGAGGUUCUACUCUUUGGAUAGAGACCAAAAUAAUACUUUGAAAAAGCCUGACAGGUUUCUUCGGAAAAGUGGCCAUCCAUGGAAUGAAUGAAAUGUUCUCUUUCUAUUCCAGGGAUUGCAGUGGCAAAGCUAGGCUAGGUCUUGGAAGCUGGUGUAAGGCGAUGCGGGUGAAGGCAGGAGGCUGAUGGAAAGACUGGGGGGAAGAAAAGCCGAAAUGGAUUCACGGUGCCUUGGAUGAAGGACGAGAGGGGAACUGCAAGCUCCUUCAACUGGUUCUGUCCGGUGAGAAGUGAUCAAGCUUGGGCUGACAAGAGGCUCAGGGAACCCUCACGUUCUUUCGCUUUUUUACCUGCCAAUCAAACUGCUACAAGACAACACCCUGAUCUGGCAUGGACAUAUCCAACUUAGAAAUAAUGUUUCAUUCAAGAUAAGGCUCGUGGUUUAGGAGAUUGUGACCUGGCUUGCAUCAUUCUAAGACUUCUAUCAUCGGUUUUCAAAACCCAAGGAGGACCUCAUUCUCUGUGUGAUAGUUCCUCAUGCUUUGCCAGCCACUGGGUCUUUAAGGAAGCUUGCCAAGAGUUCCCAGCUGGGAAGGACAGUUCGAGUUCAUCAUAGACAGUGAGCUGGCACCACAGUUUAAGUGACUCACCAACCUGGUUGUCCACUUCAAAAUGUCAAGAACCGCACUAUCUAAUUGAAAGAACUGUGUUUUAGCAAAGUGUAAUUGGAUCGCAUGGCAAGAUCAUCUCAAACUAUGUCUCUGACCUUGCCUUUCAGUGGCUGUUUGGAGCACAAGAGGAGAAAGGAAAUGAUUCCUGAAUUACAUAUUGCUUUUAAAAAUUAAGAUUAAUUAGUGGCCGGGCGCGGUGGCUCAAGCCUGUAAUCCCAGCACUUUGGGAGGCCGAGACGGGCGGAUCAGGAGGUCAGGAGAUCGAGACCAUCCUGGCUAACACGGUGAAACCCCGUCUCUACUAAAAAACACAAAAAACUAGCCCGGCGAGGUGGCGGGCGCCUGUAGUCCCAGCCACUCGGGAGGCUGAGGCAGGAGAAUGGCGUAAACCCGGGAGGCGGAGCUUGCAGUGAGCUGAGAUCUGGCCACUGCACUCCAGCCUGGGUGACAGAGCAAGACUCCAUCUCAAAAAAAAAAAAAAAAA
RNAcentral lists this long non-coding RNA (1285 nucleotides) under Macaca mulatta (Rhesus monkey). RNAcentral describes it as "lncRNA (ENSMMUG00000052013.1)". The stretch from base 253 to 528 matches the Rfam family "SOX2 overlapping transcript exon 3". The record is from RNAcentral. Lineage: Eukaryota; Metazoa; Chordata; Mammalia; Primates; Cercopithecidae.